UAGUAUAAACAAAUUUAUACCGUGAAACUGCGAAUGGCUCAUUAAAUCAGUUAUAAUUUAUUUGAUAUUCACUUACUACUUGGAUAACCGUGGUAAUUCUAGAGCUAAUACAUGCGUACAUAACCUCGACUUCUGGAAGAGGUGCACUUAUUAGAUAAAAAGCCAACGCGGGCAACCGCUUGUAUGGUGAUUCAUAAUAAUUAAGCGAAUCGCAUGGCCUUGAGCCGGCGAUGAUGCAUUCAAAUUUCUGCCCUAUCAAGUUUCGAUGGUAGGUUAGUGGCCUACCAUGCUUUUAACGGGUAACGGGGAAUUAGGGUUCGAUUCCGGAGAGGGAGCCUGAGAAACGGCUACCACAUCCAAGGAAGGCAGCAGGCGCGCAAAUUACCCAAUCCCGACACGGGGAGGUAGUGACAAUAAAUAACAAUACAGGGCCUUUACGGGUCUUGUAAUUGGAAUGAGUACAAUUUAAAUCCCUUAACGAGGAACAAUUGGAGGGCAAGUCUGGUGCCAGCAGCCGCGGUAAUUCCAGCUCCAAUAGCGUAUAUUAAAGUUGUUGCAGUUAAAAAGCUCGUAGUUGAAUUUUGGCCUUGGGUGGUUUGGUUUGGCCUUCAUUGGUCAAUGCCUUUUCCGCCUAGGUCUUACCUUCUGGGUUAGCUAGUAUUGCUUCGGUGGUGCUAGUGAACCAGAACUUUUACUUUGAAAAAAUUGGAGUGUUUAAAGCAGGCUUUCAAGCUUGAACAUAUUAGCAUGGAAUAAUGAAAUAGGACUUUGGCCUUAUUUCGUUGGUUUCUAAAGCCAAAGUAAUGAUGAAUAGGGAUAGUUGGGGACAUUAGUAUUCAAUUGUCAGAGGUGAAAUUCUUGGAUUUAUUGAAGACUAACUUCUGCGAAAGCAUUUGUCAAGGAUGUUUUCAUUAAUCAAGAACGAAAGUUAGGGGAUCGAAGACGAUCAGAUACCGUCGUAGUCUUAACCAUAAACUAUGCCGACUAAGGAUCGGAUGGUGUUAUAUUUUAUAUUGACCCAUUCGGCAUUUCAGCGUAUAAGCCAAGUU
Molecule: ribosomal RNA, 1049 nt
Filed under: Umbelopsis satunensis
Lineage: Eukaryota; Fungi; Mucoromycota; Umbelopsidomycetes; Umbelopsidales; Umbelopsidaceae
Description: SSU rRNA
Rfam family: Eukaryotic small subunit ribosomal RNA
Source: RNAcentral